CCUACGGGGGGCAGCAGUGAGGAAUAUUGGUCAAUGGUCGCGAGCCUGAACCAGCCAAGUAGCGUGCAGGAUGACUGCCCUACGGGUUGUAAACUUCUUUUAUAAGGGAAUAAAAUGCGGCACGUGUGCCUUUUUGUAUGUACUUUAUGAAUAAGGAUCGGCUAACUCCGUGCCAGCAGCCGCGGUAAUACGGAGGAUCCGAGCGUUAUCCGGAUUUAUUGGGUUUAAAGGGAGCGUAGAUGGGUUGUUAAGUAUGUUGUGAAAUGUUGUGGCUCAACCGUAGCACUGCGACGGGUACUGGCUGGCUUGAGUGCAGGGGAGGUAUGCGGAAUUCGUGGUGUAGCGGUGAAAUGCUUAGAUAUCACGAAGAACUCCGAUUGCGAAGGCAGCUUACGGAAGCGCUACUGACGCUGAGGCUCGAAGGCGUGGGUAUCAAACAGGAUUAGAUACCCGAAUAGUC
RNAcentral lists this ribosomal RNA (460 nucleotides) under uncultured bacterium. Its description in RNAcentral is "partial 16S ribosomal RNA". It matches the Rfam family "Bacterial small subunit ribosomal RNA", at positions 338 to 795 of the family's 1533-position model. The record is from RNAcentral.